GUCUAGCAGCGAGGCGCGAGUCGGAGCGAAGGCUUGGUGUGUGUGCGGUGCAUAGAAACAUUUCUGUUCGGGCUAUUUUGUACAAGAUAAGCUCUGUGAUAACGCGCGUGUGUCGGCGCGAUGGAAGCGUGAAUGUGCCGUGAUUUCUUGUGUGGCGAAGUCAAACAGGGGCCGUUCCGCUCCGAGGCCCGGGGAGCACUAGAAUGGUCGGGGCGUUGAGGGAGGCUCCGUAGCUGCAAGAUGUGAGCGAGAGAAGACUAGGUACUUUAAUGAAAUAUGCGCCCGAGGCCGUGCCCGAGCCUUGCCAGUGAAGCCCCACCGCAAGAUCUCAACUUUUCUUUGUUUCUUGUGCAAGUGUAGAUAGAUGGUGGGUGCGUUCCACUAGUCGAGUAUCGGAGUGCGACGAGGCUGGUGGCAGCCACUGGGUGUCUGGCGAGGUGACCGGCCCACACCAGGAGAGGAAUUAAAUCAUGGUGAGAGUUUGAGUGGCGUGAAGUGCACACGAAAAGGAAGGUAUGUGUGGCUUUGUGACGGCAGGAGGACACUGCUUGAAAUACACAGGGCGAGUGAGUGCGUGUGGCUGAGAGGGACCUUCGGCGGCCCCGCUCGAAGUGGCUCUUGGAUGCCCUCCCUCGUGCCAGUGGUGCAGCCGCCUGUCACUCCUGCAGCGCUCGCGGAAUGAAAGCUGAUGAGGCGCUGUUUACCUGCACGUGAGACAGCAGAGGACGCCGGGGUUAAACAUGCUGGCCAGACCCGAGGUGCCAUCCGAGGCGACCGUGCCAUGCCCAGUGCCACGCAGAAGGCAUCCCAUCCACAUGUGCCUCUCCUGGAGCAUCGCCACCAUCCAGUGCCCUCUGUCUCCGCCCUAUUCUCCCCGUCCCCUUCGCCGAGUGCCAAGUGCCAAUGAUUGUGGUCCCGGGCAGUGCUAAAUAGCGUGGAGAGGUGUGUCCAGGCGUGCCAGGUGGUGCCAAAAUAAAUGCACAUAUUUAUCGCUUCGUCCCUAUGGUGUUAGUGAUUGCCGUUGGCACCAGAGAGAGUGAAGAAGAUAGUAUUGUGUACCCUUGUUUCCCCUAGUGCCAAAUAUUUCCCUUCAGUGCCAGAUAUUGCAAGUGGUAUCCGGUGUGCCAAAGUACGGAUAGUACUUAAGUUCAAGUGGAUGUAUUAUCCUCACUUCACACGGGAUAAGUGAUGUGAUAUGUGCCAAGUGAAUGUAUAAGUGAAUGCUGUAAGUGCAUGGUGAAGGUACGUGUUAUAAUAAAUGAGUGACUGUAGUUCUUUGUGUCAAGACAGUGCCAAAAUUACGUGCCACGGAAAGCUUUAUUCUCCAAGAAGUGCAAUAUCAACCCCUUAAGCUCCUAAUAGUGUAAUUGCAAGGUCUUUGAAAUGCAAGAAGUGACUGUGACAAAUUUGAAAAGCGCAAUUUAACACAUUAUUUAUAUAUAUAUUUAUCAUAAGCUUUAUUCCCAUAGCUAAAUCCGUUAAUAUGUAUACGAAAGGAGAAAUAGAAAAUCAACUAAUCUAGAAAAAAAAGAGAGAGAGAGAAAGAUUAAGAUAGAAAUAAAUAAGAAAAUAAACAAAAAGGUAUUAAUAGAUAAAAGGGAAUAUUUCCGGUGAUUCUGAUUCUCUCUAACGAAUACCCCCCCCCCCCCCCCGAAAAAAAGAAAGAAAACGAGAAAGAGAAAGAGAGAAAGAGAGAAACGAAAGCGCUAAAAUUAUGCAUCCGAGCCGCGGGGAGGCAGCCAGCGCCAGGAACCGAGGCAGCUCCUUCCAGGACACCGGAUGAAGGGGCGGCGGCACCUCGAAGACUCUUGGCCUCUCCUUGCCCCUCCAUCAUGGCCUUCGUCACCUAGCCGACAGGUGUGUCUGUGUAGGCAGUGUCUCGGGUGCGUCGGAGGCUCCACACGCACACUCACACGUACACUUACACGCACACACAAGCACACGCGCACACGAGCACAGACAUAAACACACACACGGUGCUUAGGUAGUGUACUGGGAGGACUUUCAUACACAAGCACGAGCACGAGCACUUACACAUACUCAAGCAUACACGCGCGAACACACACACACACACACACACACACACACACACACACACACACACACACACACACAAGCAAACAAACAAUCACACACAAACAAGCAAGCCAACAUGGAGACACCCAUUCCAAAAGACACUCACUGACCCACGCUGACAGCCCUUGAGACCGUAGCCCGAAAUCCGCCCCACACUUACACCCACUACACACCUCCACCCACACACCCUUACCUUCCCCCCCACCCACCCUGUCCUGCCCACCCCCACGCCCCCCAGCCCACCAAAAUGGGUCAGAACUACGGACGCUUCCACGACCCCGAAAGAAAGACGAAUUCAAGUUUCUCUCACGACUCGGACAUCAGCCUCAGCACCCACAGCGCGGAUUUCUCGCUGACGCCGCCGCGGUCUCGGAAAGCGGUGUCCUUCCAAGGUAAGC
This is a long non-coding RNA of Penaeus chinensis, 2474 nucleotides long. RefSeq lists it as uncharacterized. Lineage: Eukaryota; Metazoa; Arthropoda; Malacostraca; Decapoda; Penaeidae. The record is from RefSeq and is a predicted model, not a curated record. The transcript has 3 exons.